GGGGGCGUGUGGAUUCGACGGGGGCAGGCCUACAGGACUGCAGGACGAGCUGUCAUUAUCUCGCUAAACUGGUGGCAAAACACAACUGCCAACGAAGCAGUUCCUGUCGCUGCCUAACUAGGCGGCAACACGUCCAACCCGGCCUCACUCCGAUGGGUUGGGAUUGGGCGACGAAAUGUCGGAGCGCUCUAACUGCCACGCCGGUAACAGUUAGCUAAGAUAAUCGGCUGGUUCGAUGAUACUCGGUCAGCAGAGGCUCAUCGGAUGAGAUAAAAGAGCUGACUAUGCCUGUAGUAUGUUCUGGCAACCUGUUUUCGGACGGGGAGUUCGACCCUCCCCCGCCUCCACCA
RNAcentral lists this transfer-messenger RNA (350 nucleotides) under Dehalococcoidia. RNAcentral describes it as "UBA5629 sp003484395 Standard tmRNA". It matches the Rfam family "transfer-messenger RNA". Rfam says of the family: Bacterial tmRNA, also known as 10Sa RNA or SsrA, is named for its dual tRNA and mRNA-like properties. Its role is to liberate the mRNA from a stalled ribosome. To accomplish this part of the tmRNA is used as a reading frame that ends in a translation stop signal. The record is from RNAcentral. RNAcentral also lists the same sequence under 1 other name. Lineage: Bacteria; Bacillati; Chloroflexota.